AGAAUCAACGCUGGCGGCGUGCCUAACACAUGCAAGUCGAACGAGAAAGGGGAGCAAUCCCUGAGUAGUAGUGGCGCACGGGUGGGUAACACGUGAAUAAUCUACCUCCGAGUGGGGAAUAACUGAGAGAAAUCUUAGCUAAUACCGCAUAACACUUACGAGUCAAAGCAGCAAUGCGCUUGGAGAGGAGUUCGCGGCCGAUUAGUUAGUUGGCGGGGUAAUGGCCCACCAAGACGAUGAUCGGUA
RNAcentral lists this ribosomal RNA (246 nucleotides) under uncultured bacterium. RNAcentral describes it as "partial small subunit ribosomal RNA". It matches the Rfam family "Bacterial small subunit ribosomal RNA", at positions 26 to 285 of the family's 1533-position model. The record is from RNAcentral.